RNAcentral lists this ribosomal RNA (497 nucleotides) under uncultured bacterium. RNAcentral's name for it is "partial 16S ribosomal RNA". It matches the Rfam family "Bacterial small subunit ribosomal RNA", at positions 28 to 507 of the family's 1533-position model. The record is from RNAcentral.
GAUGAACGCUGGCGGCGUGCCUAAUACAUGCAAGUCGAGCGAUCGGACGAGAAGCUUGCUUCUCUGAUGUUAGCGGCGGACGGGUGAGUAACACGUGGAUAACCUACCUAUAAGACUGGGAUAACUUCGGGAAACCGGAGCUAAUACCGGAUGAUAUUUUGAACCGCAUGGUUCAAAAGUGAAAGACGGUCUUGCUGUCACUUAUAGAUGGAUCCGCGCUGCAUUAGCUAGUUGGUAAGGUAACGGCUUACCAAGGCAACGAUGCAUAGCCGACCUGAGAGGGUGAUCGGCCACACUGGAACUGAGACACGGUCCAGACUCCUACGGGAGGCAGCAGUAGGGAAUCUUCCGCAAUGGGCGAAAGCCUGACGGAGCAACGCCGCGUGAGUGAUGAAGGUCUUCGGAUCGUAAAACUCUGUUAUUAGGGAAGAACAUAUGUGUAAGUAACUGUGCACAUCUUGACGGUACCUAAUCAGAAAGCCACGGCUAACUACGUG